UACGUAGGGGGCUAGCGUUGUCCGGAAUCAUUGGGCGUAAAGAGCGUGUAGGCGGCCCGGUAAGUCCGCUGUGAAAGUCGGGGGCUCAACCCUCGAAUGCCGGUGGAUACUGUGGGGCUAGAGUGCGGAAGAGGCGAGUGGAAUACCUGGUGUAGCGGUGAAAUGCGCAGAUAUCGGGAGGAACGCCUAUGGCGAAGACAGCUCGCUGGGACGUUACUGACGCUGAGACGCGAAAGCGUGGGGAGCAAACAGG
RNAcentral lists this ribosomal RNA (253 nucleotides) under uncultured bacterium. Its description in RNAcentral is "partial 16S ribosomal RNA". It matches the Rfam family "Bacterial small subunit ribosomal RNA", at positions 524 to 776 of the family's 1533-position model. The record is from RNAcentral.